UUUAUAAAAUACAAAAACAUCCCAUUUCUUCAAAAAGUUUGCAAUUAGAGGUGUAACCUUGUGCAAAGUACCUAAUCUUUCUAUACCUCAGUUUCCCCUCCUGUGCAAUGAAGAUUAUAAUAGUACUUUCUUUAAGGGAGUUUUUGGGAGGAUUAAAUGUGCUUUUAAUUAGUACUCAAUAAAUGUUAGCUAAUAUUAUUAACAUUAUUAUUUGGAAAACACUGAACAAGAACAUCUCUUAGUCCCUCCCUGUGAUGACCUGGGUCCUGCAUUGUCUUCCUUGUGUCCUGUGUUUCUUUUUGCUUUAUGGCAUCAGACUCCUUGAUUCCCUUCUCAUGUUUCAUAUAUACUCAGUCCUUGGGCUCCUGCUUCCCCAUACCUUUGUGGGCUACUUCUCAUACACUGGGAUGGGGACCAAUGGGGCUUGGAUAUCGCAUGUGUGCCUUCUCUCAGCCUGUGCAGGUAGUUGAUUUUCCUUUCCUCCUCAACCCACAGUCUCAUCAGCUGGAACACUGUCCUCAGCCUUGGAAUAGUCAACUUGCUCACUGCUGUCACAUAUGGUGGUGACCCAUAGGGUCUGUCGUGUUGCUGCUACUGAUGAUGACGAUAAUGAUGAUGAUCUCUUUUGACUCAUUUUUCAGGUGAGAUUAACACUAUUGAAUACUUCCUCUGAGACAGACAUUGUGUUAGGCACUCAGCAGGCCUAUUCACAUUUUCUUCAAAAAAUUAGUGUGUCAAAAAAUAGGGGUGUCUGGGUGCCUCAGUUAAACAUCCAACUCUUGAUUUCAGCUCAGGUCAUAAUCUCAGGGUUGU
This 813-nucleotide long non-coding RNA is filed under the name Canis lupus familiaris (dog). Its description in RNAcentral is "lncRNA (ENSCAFG00000057144.1)". The record is from RNAcentral. Lineage: Eukaryota; Metazoa; Chordata; Mammalia; Carnivora; Canidae.